This 496-nucleotide ribosomal RNA is filed under the name uncultured bacterium. RNAcentral describes it as "partial 16S ribosomal RNA". It matches the Rfam family "Bacterial small subunit ribosomal RNA", at positions 28 to 506 of the family's 1533-position model. The record is from RNAcentral.
GAUGAACGCUGGCGGCGUGCCUAAUACAUGCAAGUCGAGCGAACAGACGAGGAGCUUGCUCCUCUGACGUUAGCGGCGGACGGGUGAGUAACACGUGGAUAACCUACCUAUAAGACUGGGAUAACUUCGGGAAACCGGAGCUAAUACCGGAUAAUAUAUUGAACCGCAUGGUUCAAUAGUGAAAGACGGUUUUGCUGUCACUUAUAGAUGGAUCCGCGCCGCAUUAGCUAGUUGGUAAGGUAACGGCUUACCAAGGCGACGAUGCGUAGCCGACCUGAGAGGGGGAUCGGCCACACUGGAACUGAGACACGGUCCAGACCCCUACGGGAGGCAGCAGUAGGGAAUCUUCCGAAAUGGGCGAAAGCCUGACGGAGCAACGCCGCGUGAGUGAUGAAGGUCUUCGGAUCGUAAAACUCUGUUAUUAGGGAAGAACAAAUGUGUAAGUAACUAUGAACGUCUGGACGGUACCUAAUCAGAAAGCAACGGCUAACUACGU